This 106-nucleotide small nuclear RNA is filed under the name Sciurus vulgaris (Eurasian red squirrel). Lineage: Eukaryota; Metazoa; Chordata; Mammalia; Rodentia; Sciuridae. The record is from RNAcentral.
GCGCUCGCUUCAGCAGCACAUGCGUAAAAUUGGAACCAUACAGAGAAGAUCAGCAUGGCCCCUGUGCAAGGAUGACACGCAAAUUCGUGAAGCGUCCCGUAUUUUG